AAAUUUGGCAUGGGUAAUUUUUAAGACAGUUGUGUAAUCCUGGAAGAAAUUGUUCAAAUCGAACCACAAUACCAUAUGGCUAACAUACUAACUAAUUGAUCGAGUUCUUGUGAGGAAUCUUGUAAGGAAUAUUUUAUAAACAUUGUGGAAAAAAAGUACCUUGAAAUUGUAAUUAAUUUCCCCGGGUAAAUAAUAUACCAAAAAAAUGUAUUUUGCGAAGUAGGUAGGACCGCCAGUAAUUACUAUGCCAAAUAUGAGCAUGAUCUGUCAACCAGUUUGUUUACAGUAGCUGCUUAAGUCAGUGCACCUCCUUAGUGCGUUGAGAUUUUUACAAUGAAUUAAAAUAUAUCGGAAACGGAACUUGUCUCAAAUUUUACAUUUGUAACCAAGUUUCGUGUGCGGAAUCGUUACGAAUUAUGGAAAAGGCCUACGGAGAUUCAGUUUUAUCAAAAACACAAACCUUUAAAGGCAGUCGAGAGAUCGUUGAAGACAUGCUUCGUUCUAGAUGACCUUUGACCUAUUCAACUGAUGAAAAUAUAAAAAAAGUGAAGGAUGAAGAAGGACCAUUGAACAUGCUUCCGAUCCCACAUUGAUGAAGAUCAUUACAACUGCCGAAAAGACAUGAGUUUGACAUACAAACAAGUUACAACAAUGAUUUGAAUGAUAUCCGUUUUCAUUCGAUCGAAGGGAUAAAACAAAAUUCGCUGAAGGAGCUGAAGGCCAUCCCAAAAAAUGCUUAUGAAAAGUGUUUCGAGGACUGGAAAAAUAAGUAAAUAAGUGGCCUCAUUCUUGGUCGCACAAUGGCAAAACGGCAUGAAAUUUGCGCGAACAACCUUGAAGAGAUGUAAGAGCAGCAUGCAAAGACAUCAACAAAAGGCAAACGACAUGUGAAUUAGUAAGCAAUAAAAUACGAAAAAGCAAUAAAAAGGAAAACAGGAAAAAGGAAGGGGAGAAGUAAAGUAGGCUCCCCGCAAGUCUCAGCGUGUAAAAGAGACACUUGUAGAAAGUGUGAAAAGAGAGAGAGAGACGGCGUUGACAGCAUGUGGUGUCACCACAAUACUAUACAUAAAUAUACGAACUGAUAAUUGACAAUACGUACAACAACAACAAGUGCACAAGAAUUGAAAAUUUGUGGGAUAAAAAGUGAGCAGGCAAAUAGCGGAAAUGGAUAGAAUUGUAAGCGAAAGCACAAUUAAAUUUCCGCACAUCCGUCAUGCCCCAAAUGCCCACACUCACAACAAAAACCGAAGUAAUCAGUGCAGAAUGUAAUGAAAAAGUGUUACAUACAAAUAAAGAAAGCCAAAUUAAGAGCGCUGCAAAAGCUCAUUAAAGCAAUCUUUUGAGUGAAAGAUUUAUGCGAAAUAUUUUUCCCCUUUUUUUUGUAGUGUAUGCAUGUAUUGGGAGUAUAGUGUGCAGUGUUGUUAUGCGUAAGAAGCUUUAAAUUCACCUUUCUCUAAUCAGCCAGCGAGCUUUUGAAAGAAAAUCUAACUUCCAGGGUUUUUUCUUAAAAAUAACGUUAAUCCCGGAUUUAUUUGCCUUCGCUUAAAGCAGAAGAAUAAAAUAAUUUUAUACAAAGUAAUCUAAAUUUAAUAUUGUGCCUUUAUUAAGCCCACAGCCAUGUUUAACGAAAGAUUUAUAAAACUUCCAAGACAUAAACGCAUUUAAGCUCAGCCCACAAGCUUAUAGCUUAUAGAAUUAAAUCAAAUAAUAACAGUUACUGCUGAUAGUUGGUUGCCCAAGCAGCCGUGUGUGUAAGCAUUUGGCGAGCAUCUACAGUUGCCGUCGUCAGCCGUAUUCAGAAUGACCGACUUGGAACGCAUAAGACUGGUUAUGCUGGGCGGUGCUGGUGCGGGCAAAAGUUCCAUCAUCAAACGUUUCCUCUUCAAGACCUAUACGGACAAAUAUCGUGCCACGGUCGAGGAUCUCUUUAGUCGGGAAUAUGAUUUGGGCGGCGUCACACUGAAGGUUGACAUUUUAGACACUUCCGGUGAUAUGCAAUUUCCCGCUAUGCGCCGCCUGUCCAUUGCCACCGCCCAUGCUUUCAUGCUGGUCUAUGCGUCUACGUCAGCGUCGAGUUUUCAAUGUGUCAAAGAGUGUUUUCAGGAGAUACGUGAGCAGCGCGCCGACUAUCAGGAUAUUCCCAUUGUUAUCGCCGGCAAUAAAUCUGAUUUGGCCAACACACACCGAGAGGUGCGACUGGAAGAAGUCACGGACUGGGUCUACUGUGAAUUGCCGCGUCUAAGAGCGAAAGUGCUGGAGUGCUCCGCCAAGGAGGAUCAAAACGUGACUGACCUCUUCAAAACGUUGCUGUCUCUAUCGCGAUUUCUGCCCGUCGGGAGCAAUAAUGACGGCACGAGUGGACUCAAGCGACGCUCUUCGGCAUAUGUUAGUGCAUCGUCAAGUAGAAAUCGGCAAAGUGUGCGAAAAGGCGUGGAUCCAACAAAUGGCAGUAGAAUAUGGCGAACAAAAUCUUGGUACAGACAAGAAUCGCAAUGCUGGUCCUUCCGUUUCGGGUGGUAAAAAGUCCAGCUUAGUCGAAGCUGUGGACCCAGCCACAAGCUGUGGCGAUGCCAAGCUGAAGCCCAGAUCUAGGUCACUCAUACGCCGUGGAUCACGCAAAACCAAACAGAAAAUCAACAACGCGUCCGAUGACUGUAAUUUGCAAUAAAGCAGCGGAAGAAGGCAAGUGUGAAAGAUUGAAAGCGCGAAAAUUCUAUGAAGAGCGCUAGCGAAUAUAUACAAUUAUACAAAAAAUAAUAAAUCACAGAAGCUAACGGAUAACAACAUCAACAAAAACAAGCAGCAAAAAGACAAA
RNA transcript from Bactrocera neohumeralis, 2815 nucleotides. It is a transcript of the gene named GTP-binding protein Di-Ras2-like, with no coding region annotated. The record is from RefSeq and is a predicted model, not a curated record. Lineage: Eukaryota; Metazoa; Arthropoda; Insecta; Diptera; Tephritidae. The transcript is spliced from 8 exons.